RNAcentral lists this ribosomal RNA (292 nucleotides) under uncultured Planctomycetota bacterium. RNAcentral describes it as "uncultured planctomycete partial 16S ribosomal RNA". Lineage: Bacteria; Pseudomonadati; Planctomycetota. The record is from RNAcentral.
GGACUACUGGGGUAUCUAAUCCCGUUCGCUACCCUAGCUUUCGCGCCUCAGCGUCAGAAGAGAUCCAGCACGUCGCUUUCGCCACCGGCGUUCCUUCCGAUAUCAACGCAUUUCACCGCUCCACCGGAAGUUCCACAUGCCCCUACCUCCCUCAAGGCAUCCAGUAUCAAAGGCAGUUUUCCGGUUGAGCCGAAAGAUUUCACCCCUGACUUGGUUGCCCGCCUACGCGCCCUUUAAGCCCAGUGAUUCCGAACAACGUUUGCACGGUUCGUCUUACCGCGGCUGCUGGCAC